GUAUACUAGUAGUACAGUGUAUCUUUUGAAGCCAUACCUGCUGUUAAUGGAAGCAAUCACUGUAAAAUUUUUGCUGUAAAAGUCUAGGUGAACUGGAGGACUGGGAAAAACUUUCUGUAACGCAUGGGCUCAACAACUGAAUGCAGUAUAUGUUUACUGGCUUGUCUGAUUUCAGAAUCUCAUUAAGUAUUAUAUUUAAAUGAUUUUGGAUAAUGUCAUAAUUGUAAUGUUAAAAAACUUGGAAAUUUGAAAGUCAAUUUGUUUGUAAACUUAGUUACUAUUGAAGUUUAUACUUAAUGAAAUUCUUCAGACAAGCUGUGAUAGAUGUUUUCUGUUCAGGAAAGUGUCUGUCACAAACUUAUGUGUACUUCAUACUUUACAUAAUGCGUGUGAGUGUGUGCACAAGUCUAAGUAACUAUGUGCACUUAUCUAAGAAACUGCACAUGGAAAUACUUGUGGUUUGUGAGAAUGUGUAGGAAACUCUGUGUUUUAGGAAAUUGUCUCUGUUUAAGAAAACUCUGUUUAACCCUUUUGUUACUGUAGUUCUGUUCAAAUGUACCCUUUUAAAAUCAUUUUGAAAAUAAUGAAUAUAGUAAAAUAACUUUGACCGAUGUUUGGAACAAAUUAACAUGAAAUUUAAAUGGAAAAUUUUAAGCCUGUGUCUUAAAUAGGGACAAUCUCGGAUGGGUUGGUAUCAAAAGGGUUAAGUAAACUAUCUCUCUUUCCCUCUCUGUUUAAGUGAACUGUCUCUUUCCAAGAAAACUUAUUGUGUGUUUUAAGAAAACUGCUUCUCUGUGUUAAAGUAAACUGUCUCUAUCUGUAUGAAAUCUGCUUCUUUCUGUUUAAGAAAACUAUCUCUAGAUAGUUUUCUUAAGAAAAACUACCUCUACCACUCUCUGUUUUUAAAACUCUUUUGUGUUUUUUCUAAAUCUAAGAAAAUUGUCUUACCUGUAGAAAACUGUCUAGGCUAGAGUGAAUGUGGUAACGAAUAAUUGUCAGCCAAUUUUUCUAGAUUGGCAUAAUUGGUUACAGUGUUUCCCUUGGUAAGUAUGGAAGAAAUUCGAUGAUUGACAAGAUAAUGGUAGCUCUUGACAACUCGGCACAGAUGAUGAUAAUAUAGAACAUAAGUUCUUUUGUGAAAGCUAAUACUGCGCCAUUUGGUCAUGUCACUUGUGUUGUAUGAAUACUGGUAGGUAUCGGAAAUUGUAUCAGCAACAACAAUAUUGCAGAAAUACGACAUCCAUGCAAAGAUACUAAAUUGUUAUGAGACAAUUUGAUGAUUUCACUUAGAUUCCACGUAACCCAAGCAUUUAAUUUUAAAAUGAUAUGAGGGGGUCUUGAAAUCAUUUCUACUUGGAUCAGUAAACUUUUUAUUUUGCCCCCCUAUCUACUCAUCAUACCCCCACUCCCCAUUCCUUAAUUCUUUCAUGUAGUGCCUUCUUUUUAAAAGUUGAUCCACUUCAAUCACUAACUUUGGAACGAACUUGUGAUGCCUGAAGCAAUAUCCAUCCCUUGCUCAUUUGAUUUUCUGAAGUUCUUUUGUUUAAUUUGAUUAUGAAGACUCGAAGCAUGGAAAUCCUGAAAGUUUCCAAGAUGAACUUUAUACCGUAUAAGCUUUUUCACCUAAGUUUGAUACAUAUAUUUCUUGACCUGAUAUAUAUAUACAGUUAUAUAACAUGAUGUGAAAAAUUACACCAAAUAGUCCUUGAUAUAAAGAAUUUCACUGAAAAGUAGAACUUUUGAAUGAUAUUGAGAAGUAUUAUGCAAAUGAAAUACCAGCAUCUCUGAUUUAAAGAGUGAGGGGAGAAAUUCACCCGAUAAAAUGGGAAUUUCUUCUGCAAUUAUAUCUUAAUUUCCUGCAAUAUCAUCAACCGUUUUUCUCCUUCGACGGUUCUGAUUCUCUUCCCAUUUGACGAACAGUACUUGUGCAACUUAAGUUUACAUAAGAAUUCUUGAUUUAGAAAGCCAUUUAGUUUUUUUUUUUUUUUUUAAAUACUUCAUACUUAAAUACUGAUGGCUGGACUCUGUUCAUUUUGGCAAUUACUUUGAAAACUUCCCAUGCAAAUUAAGUGUCUGGAACGCUUUCUAAAUUCUGUCCUUGUUUGGAUGAAAUACGAAGUACCUUGUUGGAAUAUGAAUUACUUGGAGAAUCCUUGUGCUACUGAAUACCAGCAUGUGGAUCUGAAAUGCAGGUAUGUAUUCAACUGGUCACCACUGUUCUAUAAGGCUUAUACCCUAAAGCUGUUGUAUGGUAAGUGGGUUUGGCCAAUCUAUGUUGUAGGGAAGAUUUAGAGCUUGCUGCUUAUUCUAACCCCUUUUUUCUUUUCAUCCCAACCCUAAAUUCAUUGUAAUGCUUAAAUAUGUGUAAUGAAUUUUGUAAAUUGUUAGUGGUCUAUUUUAUCUGAUACUUGUUUUGGCAUAUGUCAAGCAUAUUUCUUGAGGAUUCCAUUUUUGAAUAUUUGGUCAAAGGUACUUUUUUAAAACAUUCUCUUACUAUAGUUAACUAUAUUCAAUGAGAUAUUUCUCUAUAUGUUUCUCCUUUUGAUUAUUUACUGGAUGUAAUAGAGGAAUUAGUGUUUCAGUAACUAUUAUGAUUUUGGUUAUUUUUUUAUCAAGAAUUGAUUAGCCUUGUUUUGCCUCAUGUUGCAUGUAUGCACAUACAGAUUUGGCAAAAACAAAACAAAAAGAUAGUUUUAAUGCAAAUUAAAUUUGAUAUUUGAUGAAAAUUGUUUUUUUUUUUUUUCUCCUCCACUUCCUUACUUAAAAUCUGAGAUAAGUUGAUCUCAACAUGUUCAUUCCACCAAACUGUUUUUCUCUCUCGUUGCUUGUAUAGUGGGUAAGGAAGUCAGUCCUCUACUUUAGGUUAUCUACACAUCCAUGAAAAUACCUCAUGAUGACAGGUAAACUUGUAUUUUUGACGUAAAGUCAAAUGUAGAUUGAUUGAAAGUAUCCGGUCCAUAACAAAUUCAGUAUGUCCCCAGUCCUUGAUAUAAUCUAUUUUCUAUCAAUCUUUGAGUAUCUAUGACUCUAUCAAUAACUUCCUUUCUUAUUUAACCCCUUUAGCAUUCAGAAUUACUCUGUCAAAUGUAUUGCUAAUUUAUUCAUAUUGCUUUGAAUUAUGCUUUUUCAUUUAACUUUUGAUGUGAUUAUUUUUAGUGUGAUAUUGUAGGGUAGCUGUGAGAGGCCACAUGGCCAAUUUGAAUAUAAAACUAGAUAGAAUAUUUAGACCUGUUACGGCCAGUUUAAAUGUUUGAGUAAAUUAAACCUGUUUUAAGAAUUUAUUAAAAUUUGAUAUUUUUAUAAUUUAUAGGUCUUUUUUUUUUCCCAUUUUUUAAGAGAAUAUUUUUUCCUCUUGGUUCUAGUCUUGAAAGUAAAUAGUAUUUAAUUAAGUUUCAAUCAAACUUACAAAUGGAUUUUGUUAAUAAGAUAGUUGAGUGUAAAAAAGUUAAUAACUAAGUAAUUUUAAUUUUUUAGUAUAAAAUCUUUAUGUAACUGUCAAAAGAAAUAGUAAUUUCUUAAUCACUUUCCAUUGUCACUUCUGUGAAUUCAUUGUAUUGGAACUUAUUUUCCUUUGGAAAUAUGAUUUGUACCAGGGUUUUUUUUUUAUAAGUGUGGUUAUUUCAGUAAAAUAGGUUUCCAAGUAAUGCUUAAACAUUUUAAAAUGUUGCAGUUAAAUUCUUUCCAUUCAAUAUGAAGGAACAGUAGCAAAUAUUUAAAGGUCUUACACUUUGAUUUUACUUAAAAACUACAAUCAAGAUAUCUUAAGUUUGAAUGAACAUUUCCUACUUUUAAAAGCUGAAAUGUCAACUUGCUAACUACUAUAAAUUUAUUUGUAAUGAAAUUAAUUUCUGAUAAUUAUUUAACUGUUUGUUGAUGGAUAAAGUGUGUAUCCUGAAUGGAAGCAUUUUCCCUUUCAUCAUUUUAAAAAUGCUUUUGAUGUCAGUUCACAAUUUAUUUUCUGGUGACUCAAUUCCAUGAAGUAUUAAAGUUGGUUGUUGUCUUUUUAAAACUUGUUCAUUUAGUUUUUAGUUCUUUGGUCUUUCUGUCAGUCUUACACACUUUUAGUGAAUAAAGGUUGAUCUAAGAUACUUGGAAUUAAGGUUUCAUUGAUUUCCAUCACUUGCUUUUUCAUCAAUUCUUUAAAAAAUUGUUUUAGGAAACCAUAAAUUCUCAUAACAAAAAUUGGUGUAUUAAACUGUGCAUGUUUAUAUGAAACUUAAAUGCUUUAUUAAUUUGUGCUUGAUAUUUUUUUUUUUUUACAUUUUUUUUUUUCCAAAAUACCUGGAUUCUGUCUCAAAAUCCCACAAACUGAUACUGAUAACUGGAUUUAGAAUUCUUAAAGAUUUCUUUAUGAAGAAUAUUGUUCCCUUUUAUUGUGACAUCAGUAUGGCUUCAUGCAACUGAAGCAGAUGGCUUUUGUCCCAAUGACUUACCGUGACCAUAGUGCAAUUAGCAUGUAACAGUAUUAAAAUGUAUAAAUAUUUAUUUGAAUUUAUUUUUGUAACAAAUAUCAAAAACCUUUGGUGUUUGGCCAAGCACUUAAACUUGGAAACCUUUUUUCAUUCCCUCUAUAGAUUCAACAUUGAGAGUAUAUAUUAAGGAUUGUGACUAUCAUCAGAAGUGGGAGAUACCCAACAUCUUGUAAUAUUAAUUUCAAUACAAGAAACUCCUAGAUACAUUUAGACAUCAUCUUUUUAUUUCAUUACAACUUGCAGAUACUUGUAAAUAAGGUGAUAUCAGUAUCUUGUAGUAUCGAUUUUAUUACAAGAAACUACCAAUUACUUAAAAAAUACAAUGUAUGCAUUUAAGCUCAACCACAUUUUGAAAUGAGAAUGCAUAAUAAAUAUCUGAAUCUAAGAGAUUCAUCUAUGUAGAUUUUAUUUUCAAAGUAAAAAUUUGAAAUUUAAGAUCUUAUUUUUUACAUGGAGAGGAUUUAAUCUUGCUGAGUUCAGGUUUGACUUUUGCCACUUGAAAUGAAGUUAUGGAAUGGACCAGAAAAAAUGGUAACAUAAUUCCACAGUUUCAAGUGUUUGAUCUGAUAAUUGACCACAUUGGUUUCUGUUUUAAGAUUGGAUUACUGAUAAGGAAAGAAGGGGACUACUAUUGUUUCUCCAAGCUGAACAUGGCCAUGAAUCUGGAAAUGUCUGCUCCUGUCUACUUCUAGACAGUUAGUACUGUUGUAUUCUGACUAAUGUUGAAUUCUUCUAGCAGCUCAUUGUGAUAACAGCUAUUCUGAUAGGAUCACUCACUAGUGACCAUGUCUCAACUUGGUAAGUAAACUAUUUUGUGAUGCUGUCUUUUCAUAUUG
This 5308-nucleotide long non-coding RNA is filed under the name Octopus vulgaris (common octopus). Lineage: Eukaryota; Metazoa; Mollusca; Cephalopoda; Octopoda; Octopodidae. The record is from RNAcentral.